RNAcentral lists this ribosomal RNA (892 nucleotides) under Polypedates leucomystax (Java whipping frog). Its description in RNAcentral is "partial 16S ribosomal RNA". It matches the Rfam family "Bacterial large subunit ribosomal RNA", at positions 1112 to 2606 of the family's 2925-position model. Lineage: Eukaryota; Metazoa; Chordata; Amphibia; Anura; Rhacophoridae. The record is from RNAcentral.
GCAGCCACCUUUUAAAAAGCGUCAAAGCUUAACCUAAUUCCUCUAAAAUACCAUUAACCUUAAUGAACCCCUAAUCUAUAAUGAAUGACCCCAUAUAAAUAUGGAAGACACCAUGCUAGGAUAAGUAACAAGAAUUAAUAAUUCUCCAAAAUGCAAACAUACACCAGCAUGGAUAAACCAUUGGUAAUUACCGAAUCUGAACUUACUGCAACAACACUUACAAGAAAACCAUGCAGUAUUUGCUCGUUAACCUAACACUAGUGCAUUUCAGGAAAGAUUUAAAAAAAGAGAAGGAAUUCGGCAAAUGAAAGCCCCGCCUGUUUACCAAAAACAUCGCCUCUUGAUUUAUGAUAAGAGGUCCAGCCUGCCCAGUGAAUUUUUAACGGCCGCGGUAUCCUAACCGCGCGAAGGUAGCAUAAUCACUUGUUCUUUAAAUGGGGACUCGUAUCAACGGCAUCACGAGGGUUUUACUGUCUCCUCUUUUUGAUCAGUGAAAUUGAUCUUCCCGUGAAGAAGCGGGAAUACUCAUAUAAGACGAGAAGACCCCAUGGAGCUUAAAACCAAAUAGUAACUUAACCACAUAUUUCCUUAUAACUUUAAGCCUAUACUAUGAGGUUUUUGGUUGGGGUGACCGCGGAGUAAAACAUAUCCUCCACGACGGAAAGACUACAAUCUUUAUUUAAGAACCACAGUUCUAAAAAUUAGCACACUAACGUUUACUGACCCGAUAAUCGAUCAACGGAACAAGUUACCCUGGGGAUAACAGCGCAAUCUACUUCAAGAGCCCAUAUCGACGAGUAGGCUUACGACCUCGAUGUUGGAUCAGGGUAUCCCAGUGGUGCAGCCAUUACUGAAGGUUCGUUUGUUCAACGAUUAAAACCCUACGUGAUCU